This 352-nucleotide unclassified non-coding RNA is filed under the name Acer cissifolium. RNAcentral's name for it is "partial external transcribed spacer". Lineage: Eukaryota; Viridiplantae; Streptophyta; Magnoliopsida; Sapindales; Sapindaceae. The record is from RNAcentral.
CUGUGUUGCUUACCAAUUGAAUGGAAUUCGAUUGUUUUCGUUUCUCUAUUCGUCCGGUUCCUUUAGGGGUGUUGGGUGGACAAUAGGCUGACCUCGUGUUCCAGGUACAUCUCGCAUUUUUGUGUGGUUACCAUGGCCCAUGGAGUUAUGCUUGCUCUCUUGGAUGCGGAUCGUUAGUUGUGGGCGAGGGGUUACGACCUCCAUUCGUCCAAGCUAUUAUGCAUUUGUCAAUUGACACGAACGACUGCUGCACUCGUCUUGGCUUUUUACAGUUGAAUGGCUGUACAAUGUCCAUGCGAGCGUCGGUGUCGUGAAGGAAUGCUACCUGGUUGAUCCUGCCAGUAGUCAUAUG